RNAcentral lists this ribosomal RNA (404 nucleotides) under uncultured bacterium. Its description in RNAcentral is "partial 16S ribosomal RNA". It matches the Rfam family "Bacterial small subunit ribosomal RNA", at positions 30 to 526 of the family's 1533-position model. The record is from RNAcentral.
AUUGAACGCUGGCGGCAGGCCUAACACAUGCAAGUCGAGCGAGCGGCGGACGGGUGAGUAAUGCCUGGGAAUUGCCCAGUCGAGGGGGAUAACAGUUGGAAACGACUGCUAAUACCGCAUACGACUUGAUUGCACAGGUGGGAUUAGCUAGUUGGUGAGGUAAUUGCUCACAAAGGCGACCAUCCCUCGCUGGUCUGCACGGAUGAUCAGCCACACUGGAACUGAGAAACGGGCCCGACUCGUACGGGAGGCAGCAGUGGGUAAUAUUGCACAAUGGGGGAAACCCUGAUGCAGCCAGGCCGCGUGGGUGAAGAAGGCCUUCGGGUGGUAAAGCACUUUCAGCGAGGAGGCGUUACUCGCAGAAGAAGCACCGGCUAACUCCGUGCCAGCAGCCGCGGUAAUUC